This 404-nucleotide ribosomal RNA is filed under the name uncultured bacterium. Its description in RNAcentral is "bacterial SSU rRNA". It matches the Rfam family "Bacterial small subunit ribosomal RNA", at positions 494 to 896 of the family's 1533-position model. The record is from RNAcentral.
CGGCUAACUUCGUGCCAGCAGCCGCGGUAAUACGAGGGGGGCGAGCGUUGUUCGGAAUUACUGGGCGUAAAGGGCUCGUAGGCGGCCAACUAAGUCAGACGUGAAAUCCCUCGGCUUAACCGGGGAACUGCGUCUGAUACUGGAUGGCUUGAGAUUGGGAGAGGGAUGCGGAAUUCCAGGUGUAGCGGUGAAAUGCGUAGAUAUCUGGAGGAACACCGGUGGCGAAGGCGGCAUCCUGGACCAACACUGACGCUGAGGAGCGAAAGCCAGGGGAGCAAACGGGAUUAGAUACCCCGGUAGUCCUGGCCCUAAACGAUGAAUGCUUGGUGUGGCGGGUAUCGAUCCCUGCCGUGCCGAAGCUAACGCAUUAAGCAUUCCGCCUGGGGAGUACGGUCGCAAGGCUG